Molecule: ribosomal RNA, 1959 nt
Filed under: sludge metagenome
Description: bacterial LSU rRNA
Rfam family: Bacterial large subunit ribosomal RNA
Source: RNAcentral
UAAAGCACUUAAGGGCGUAUGGUGGAUGCCUUGGCUCUGAGAGACGAUGAAGGACGUGGUAAGCUGCGAUAAGCUUCGGGGAGCUGCACACAAGCAUUAUAUCCGAAGAUCUCCGAAUGGGACAACCCGGCACACUGAAGGUGUGUCAUCCGCAAGGAAGUCAACCUCCUGAACUGAAACAUCUAAGUAGGGAGAGGAAAAGAAAACAAACGUGAUUCCCUGAGUAGUGGCGAGCGAAAAGGGAACAGCCCAAACCGGUGUAGCGUGCUGCACCGGGGUUGUAGGACCACAUUUAGAAAACAACAUCAAGCUGAACAUUCUGGAAAGUUUGACCAUAGCAGGUGAUAGUCCUGUAGGCGGAAAUUGUUGUGGACGCGUGGUAUCCUGAGUAAGGCGGGACCGGAGGAAUCCUGCCUGAAACUGCCGGCACCAUCCGGUAAGGCUAAAUACUCCUCAGAGACCGAUAGUGAACCAGUACCGUAAGGGAAAGGUGAAAAGCACCCUAAACAAGGGAGUGAAAUAGUACCUGAAACCGUGCGCCUACAAGCGGUCGGAGCCAGCAAUGGUGACGGCGUGCCUUUUGCAUAAUGAGCCUACGAGUUACUCCUCACUGGCGAGGUUAAGUUCUUCAGUAACGGAGCCGUAGCGAAAGCGAGUCCGAAUAGGGCGACUAGUCAGUGGGGGUAGACGCGAAACUUUGUGAUCUAUCCAUGGGCAGGUUGAAGUGGCGGUAACACGCCAUGGAGGACCGAACUCAUUAGCGUUGAAAAGCUAUGGGAUGACCUGUGGAUAGGGGUGAAAGGCCAAUCAAACUGAGAGAUAGCUCGUUCUCCCCGAAAUGUUUUUAGGAACAGCCUCGUAUAAUGACGUUUACCAGAGGUAGAGCUACUGAUUGGGCUAGGGGGCUUCACCGCCUACCAAACCCUGACAAACUCCGAAUGCUGGUAAAUAUCUACGGGAGUGAGGCUGCGGGUGCUAAGAUCCGUGGCCGAGAGGGAAAUAACCCAGAUUAGCAGCUAAGGUCCCUAAGCGUAUGUUAAGUUGAUCAAACGAGGUGGGACUUCUAUAACAGCCAGGAUGUUGGCUUGGAAGCAGCCAUUCAUUUAAAGAGUGCGUAACAGCUCACUGGUCGAGAGGUCCUGCACGGAAAAUAAUCGGGCAUCAAACAUACCACCGAAGCUCUAAGAUGCACACUAGGUGUGUUAUCGGUAGGGGAGCAUUCUGAACUGCAUCGAAGGUGUACAGCGAUGUAUGCUGGAGCGUUCAGAAAAGAAAAUGUAGGCAUAAGUAGCGAUAAAAGUAGUGAAAAACUACUUCACCGUAAGACUAAGGGUUCCUGAUCAACGUUAAUCGGAUCAGGGUUAGUCGGGUCCUUAGGAAAACCCGAAAGGGGCAUCUGAUGGAAAACUGGUUAAUAUUCCAGUACCUGCUUUAGUUUCGAUGGGGUAACGGGGUAGUGAAAGGUCCGCGCACUUACGGAAUAGUGCGUUAAAGCGUGUAGUUAUAUUUUGUACCGGUAAAUCCGUACGGAAUGGCGAACGUGAUAGUACUGCAAAGCUUCGGCAGCGCAGAUAGUGACCCUAAUCAAACCCCCGAGAAAAACCUCUAAGGUGUGGCUAAAGCAGCCCGUACCGCAAACCGACACAGGUAGUCGAGGCGAAUAGCCUAAGGUGCUCGGGUGAGCCGCGGAGAAGGAACUAGGCAAAUUGUGGCUGUAACUUCGGGAUAAAGCCAACCGCAGCGAUGCGGUCUCAGUAAAAUGGUUCAACCAACUGUUUAACAAAAACACAGGGCCCUGCAAAAUCGUAAGAUGACGUAUAGAGCCUGAUACCUGCCCGGUGCUGGAAGGUUAAGGAAGGAUGUUCGGCGCAAGCCAAAGCUUCUGACUGAAGCCCCAGUAAACGGCGGCCGUAACUAUAACGGUCCUAAGGUAGCGAAAUUCCUUGUCGGGUAAGUUCC